This 772-nucleotide long non-coding RNA is filed under the name Homo sapiens (human). RNAcentral describes it as "non-protein coding lnc-TRPM1-1:20". Lineage: Eukaryota; Metazoa; Chordata; Mammalia; Primates; Hominidae. The record is from RNAcentral.
GCAGCUGAUGACAGUUUGAAAGAAGGAUGAGCAGGCUCUCUGCCAUCUGCCCACCAACUUUUCAAGUUACUUUUACCCACCUUCAAAAUUACAUCUGCUUUUAGCAAGAAUUACUGAUGUGAUAAAGAUGGGAGUGUUCACCAUGCAAGGGCAGGGGAUCCCCUGCUGCUCCACCAUCAGAUUUGGGACACCACCCCCCCCCCGGCCCCACCAGAGGGCAUCAGCUAUGCCUAGCAAUUACGCCCCCGUGGCUAAAUUAAACUCCCAUUGGCUAAAUUAGGCUCGAAGAGAGGGGCACCUGCUGCUAAGCUGUGUAUGUUGUCCCCUAGGACUCCCACCGUUUGCUGAGCUCCACAUGACAACAGCAGACGACAGGCCGCACUGAUCCCACCUGGCUUACAGGUGCUGUCACACAGGCUCCCUUGCUCCUUCAUUCAACCAUUGUUUACAUGUCGUUCAGGACUGCUGACUAAACACUUUCAAGCACAGUGGACCCUUGAACAACGCAGGUUCAAACUGUGCAGGUCCACCCACAGGGAUGUUUUUCAAUCAGAGUUAUACCAAGUGUCCCUGCCUCUCCUGCCUCCCUUCCCACUUCCUCCAUGUCUUCCUCUCUGCCACCCUGAGGCAGCAAGACCAGCCCCUCCUCCUCAGCCACUCAACAUGAAGACAACGAGGAUGAAGACUUCUAUGAUAAUCCACUUCCACUUAGUAAAUGCUUUCUCUUAUGAUAUUCUUAAUGACAUUUUAUUUUCCCAAGCUUAGUUUAUUG